AUAUAUUUGUAUAUAUAUUGCAUUGACUAUUUCCUGUAUGCGCCAUCCUGGACUGUUGAUAUGCAGAGAAUAAAACAAGAAACUGGAAGUGAUGCGACCCAAUGCUCAUACGGAAUAAUGCAGUACGAUUCAAAACAUACCGACUAUUCGAAGAGUCCGUGGACGACUAACUACGAAACGCCGCCGAUAACACCGAAUUAUCCGCUACUGAGCCAGCAAUCAAACAGUGGCGGUAGCAGCGGCAGCGGCGGCGGCGGCG
Molecule: long non-coding RNA, 259 nt
Organism: Priapulus caudatus
Lineage: Eukaryota; Metazoa; Priapulida; Priapulimorpha; Priapulimorphida; Priapulidae
Exons: 3
Source: RefSeq, a predicted model, not a curated record